GCCCCAGAGAGCCCUUCCCCAUUGACACUGUUCGCAGACGAGCUGCUUAGUCUGUUUUUCGUGUUUGGCAGUUUAUUUUCCUUCUUCCAUUUCAUUCGCCUGUUUUGGAACCAGAUUUUGAUCUGGCGCUCAGUCAGACACAGCGCAUGCGCGAUUUCUAUUCGUCUUCUCCGUGUGAGGUAUCUGUUGAAGUGAAAUUCUUUCUCCAGUUCCAAGACUUGGUGUCUUGUGUAGGCCGUUCUCGUCCUCUUGCUGUCUGUCCCGUAUGCUCCAUUGGCUCCAGCAGCACAUAUACGGUUGCCAUAGAAACCAAAGGAGCGUCUCAAGGAACUUCCUGCCAACUGCAGCUGCUACCAUGGCAACGGCGUCAUCAACAAACCAGCGCAGCAUUUGUGUGUGUUACAUCAUCAGCUCUAGGUGAUAACCAGCAGCCUCAUCUCUUGAUAUAUCUUUGUCCAUCAUCCUGCAGUUUAUUGAUAGAACAGUAUCCAUAAGUCGCCUUACAAGCUUAAUUAACCCGGCCGAGCGGUAAGCUCCCUUGUAUGGCGUCCAUAUUGCACAACACAUCAGAAUAUUUUUGCCAUUUUUCAAAUUUAGUAUGAGCAGACAAUUUAUGCAAAAAUGCUUAAAAGACUCCUUUUGCAAAGAAAUUCUUGAGCGAAGUAAAAAGCAGUGUCUUAAGCCCUCAGACCCGUGUUAUUGACAAAGUUGCACACGUCAAAAAAAAAAAAAAAAAAAA
This 739-nucleotide non-coding RNA is filed under the name Alitta virens. Lineage: Eukaryota; Metazoa; Annelida; Polychaeta; Phyllodocida; Nereididae. The record is from RNAcentral.